CCAUGGAAGACCUUGGGAAAUGUUUACAGGUUUCAAAUUUGGUGUUUGCCAAGUAUUGCAAAACAUCUACCCCUCCUCACUACACACUUGUACUCCUGUUAAAAUACAUUACUGUGCUUGAAGGUGUCCAGUCUUCUAUUGUCUUGCAUAGUAGCACAGGCGAGCUUGGUGAAGGUAGGUGGAAUCAGGGUGUGUUUUCAGCAACAAGUGAGCAGAGGAGCUGAGCGGGUGGUUCUGAGCAAAGGGCCCGAGAAGUGACAGCAGAGGGGGAGUGAUGCCGAAACGAUAAUAUUAGAGUACACAGAGUAAUGCACAGCUGCCAGGUCACACAAUUUGAGAACUGCUUCAGAACAGUCAACUCUUCCACGCUGUUGCUAAGAGACGGGGGAGGUGGGGAGGCAUUCAUCCCUUGAACAAAAGGGAGGGGAAAAACACGAACAGACAUGAACUCUAAGUUUUGGAAAUGAUUUCAUGGACUCCUAUUUUCUGAACGUUAGUGUCUUUGGAGACAUUUUCAUGUGUUGAGUUCCUACUGUGUGCUAUGUGUGGCUCAAGGCACUGGGGAGAGAGCAGUGGACAAAGUCCCUGUUUUCAUGGAGCUUCUAUUGGAUUUGGUCUUCUCCUUUGAUGUUGAGGGGACUGACUGAGGUCCUCAGAAGGGAAGAACUUGCCUAAGAACUGAAGGCAACCUAUUGGCAAAGCUGAUAUUUGAAUCCAGGCCUCCUAAAUCCAAGAUCGAGACUUUUUCCAUAUACUACAUUUUACAAAAGAGAUUCAUCUGCAGCAGAUUUUAACGUUAGCUAGGACUUAAGUACCUCAGCUAGGUCAAGGUCCAUUCACUGGAGAUUUCUGCAAAUGAGUCCAAAAAAAUGAUGUUUUUUUAAUUUCAAGUGUCCCACGGAGAAGUUUCAUAUUUAUUCAGAGUCCUUGUCUUCCAUUAUUACACCUAGUUGAAUGAAACUGUAUAGUAUGAAAGGAGGUAGGGAGAAUCAAAACAGGAAAAAGAUUUGGGUAUCUCAUAACUGCUGAAAAUUAGCAAGACAUGGAAGUCAAGAGAUCUGGGUGCAGAAGCAGUUUCUACUUCUUCCUACCUGUGACCUUACCUCUUUAGGCCUGUUUUCCCACCUAUAACAUGAGGGAUUGCAUUAUAAUAAUCUCAGCAUUCUUCUCCAGCUCUAAAUUUAUGAUGAGUCACCCAACAGUGCCAUGCAGUGAAAAUAGCCCUAAGGCCCUAAGAUGUAAUUUCAGAGAGUGACUGUGGUUCAAAGAUGAAAAACUGAGUGUUAAUUGCCCCUUCUCCUGUGCUCCCAUGGUCCUAGGGCAGGGUGCUGCUGUAGUGCACAUUCUGCUGUGCAUGCUGAGAAGCUGGCUCCGGGUCUGCACCAGCAGAAAGGUCUGUGCUUAUGGAGGGUGAGCACUGUGUCCUGUGCACUGCCACGUGACUGUUUUUGUAGGCCUUUCUUCCCAUCAGACCAUGACUACUUUGAUGGCAGGGACCAUGUCUUAUUUAUCCUUCUGCCUUAGUGCCUGCCGCUGAGUAGUCUGUAGAUGUUUACAGAGUGAAGGAAUCAAUGAAUAAUGACUGAGUGAGAAAACUAUACUUUUUCAGGGUCAAUAAAGGAAAUAGCACAAGAGAAUCUCCCCUGAUAAACUUGUCAAAGUGAUCCCAGAAUUAAACAUUCAGGCUGGAGAGGUUAUUAGUGACUUGCUUAAGGCCACAUUGUUUAAAAGCAGCAAAGCUAGGACUCCUUUCCUCUCUCCUUUUCUUUCUUUUAUUCAGUACCCCAAAAGGGUGUUUGGCUCCAGCAUUGAACACAGGUGACUUUGAAUAACAAUUUAUCGGAACAAGAUGAAUUUUGAAGCAGGUAGGAGGGUGGCUUUUGAGUCUGACAGAUGUGGGUUCAAAUCCUCUGGGGCCGCUGACUAUCAGUGUGAUCUAUGGCAACUUAACCUCCCGGAAGCUCAGUUUCCUCGUGUGAAAAGUAGAAGUGAUAACAUCUCCACCAUCUCCCUUGCAGGCUGCUUCUGUGGGGUCAUUUGAAGGCUUAUGGUUAACCCAGAUAAGAGGUAGGAUGGGAGUUUCUAACACAAGUCUCUUACUGUCCUGCACGAUUUGUUGCUUCAGAGAAAUGGGGUCUUCUCUAUCUUUUUUGAAAUUCCAUUGUUGGCUUAGACAAUGAGUAGCCUUCUGUGUAUGUGAUGUACAUUCUCCCCCAGACCUACUGUUAUGUAUUUUCCAGCCUACUGAGGUAGUCCAGGCCCAUUCACUAUACACAUCAGUGUGUGCUGGCUUGUGUUUUUACCCUUUCUGCAGCUACAGCCUGAACUAAGACUGGGUCCUUGCAGCUCUCCAACACAUGAUUGCUGCCUGCCAGAACCACAGACCUUUCUCGGGACUGGCACGAAUUUCAGCCAACAGAGCCUGCACAGAAACACAUGGAAAAGGCUUCCGGUGGAGCUUACUGUGAGUCACAGACAGCCAUAGUUGCACUGGAUAGAGAGCUGGCAGAUGCCAUCAGCAUAUGCCCUUAGAAACUUUGGUUGUUUUGUGGCCUGGAGAAGAGCCCAGAAUUAUGGAGCCUAAGAGGCAGCACCUCUGCUUUCUGAAGAGGAAGCCGUAGUGCCGUGGACUUCACCACGUGCACAGUGGCUGCAUCCAGACCUGAAUGCCCCUCUCAUUACUCACCGGAAGUGAGCUUUGAACACUUCACACAGGAAGAUGACUCGCUCCUCCAACAAGAUGCAGAAAGUCUUUCCAAGCAAAUGACUUGAAGUGUUUAAAUAUUCUGUUUCUUAGUCUGCUUUUUUUCUGUUAAAUCCUUCAGCUUGAAUGAGCACCUUUAUCUGCAAAUUGAUCUGGUUGUAGCAUCCCUUGACCAUGUAGGUGGAUUUUUAAUUUGUACUUAAGGCCAGUUACAAUAUGCCAUCUGCAACUCUGCUCCCUUUAUGCUCCUGUAGCACUGCUAUAGAGAGGAAGGGUUUGUCGUAGCAAUGGGAAAUAAAACAAUGAGCAUACAACUUUUACAAUUGGAAAUGAAGAAGCAUAAAAAAAAAUAACGGCUGAUAUUUGUUAUCGGUCAGGCCUGAGUAUGAGAAUUAUGGGUCUCUAACAUGCCUGAAUUAGCAAGAGGAUGAAAUUGCAAGAAGGCAGGCUGGAGAACAACCUCUUGACCCCACUCAGCAUUUUGGAGCAUGGCAGCUUAACAGAUCCAACACAGAAAACAAGGGAAUGGGUUAGUCUGGUGCUCAUUCUCAAAGGUAGAUGUGUCUGAAGUGAGAACUCUUGUUUGCAUUCUCUGGAACCAAGUAGGGAUCUGUCAUCUUUUGGGAAGAUCUGUCCUUCCUCAGCAGGUGUCCCAUCAGCAAGGACAAAAUCUGGAACCCAGAUUCCAGGGAAAGAAACUAAGAAGAGCUAGGCAUGGAUCCAGGCCAUUCAACAAUAGGCUAGGGACAACAGCAGGCUCUGAGCUCAGGGAAGGGACGCUUGGGCAGAAACUAGUCUUACGGGAUUGGGGAAGGUAGCACAGUAUCACAGGGAGAGCAUGUCUUUGGACUUGAAGAGACAUAGAUUAUAAUCCCAGUUUUGGUGCUUACUAGCUAUGUGAUUGCAGGUAGGUCAGUUUCCUUCAUGGGACUCAUCUGCAAAAUAAUUCUUACAGAGGCAUCAUAAUACCCAAGAUCAUAGUCAAAUAAACUUGGAAUAGAAACUCUGGCCCAUCAUUUAUGAACCAUUAGUUCCUUAACUUUUGUCCUAACCUUCCUUAAGCCUCAGUUUUCCUAUCUGUAAAAAGGAGAUAAGAUUACUUAUCUUAGAUCUAGUGUGAGGAUUAAUUGAAACAUUGCAAGUACAAUACUCAGCAUAAGGCUCAGAACACAGAACACAUUCCAUAAAUGGUGCUAUGAUUGGUCCUGGGAUAUUGGCUCCUGGUCUGGUUGGCAGUGAAGGCAAGGAAAACAUGUGUGUGGGAUAUGCUGACAGUUUAGGGGAUGUCCUAGAGUUUCCCAUAGUUGUCCCAGUCAGUUUGAUCUUGGUAUUAUGCACUAGGCUGUGUACUGUUUGGCCCCAGUUAAGAUUCCAGGUCUGAGAACAUUUUUGAAGCCCCUAGAUGGA
This 4111-nucleotide long non-coding RNA is filed under the name Homo sapiens (human). RNAcentral's name for it is "long non-coding RNA NONHSAT149021.1". The record is from RNAcentral. Lineage: Eukaryota; Metazoa; Chordata; Mammalia; Primates; Hominidae.